AUUGAACGCUGGCGGCAGGCCUAACACAUGCAAGUCGAGCGAGCGGCGGACGGGUGCGUAAUGUCUGGGAAACUGCCUGAAGGAGGGGGAUAACUACUGGAAACGGUAUCUAAUACCGCAUACCAUCAGAUGUGCCCAGAUGGGGUUAGCUGGUCGGUGGGGUAACGGCUCACCUAGGCGACGAUCCCUAGCUGGUCUGAGAGGAUGACCAGCCACACUGGAACGGAGACACGGUCCAGACUCCUACGGGAGGCAGCAGGGGGGAAUAUUGCACAAUGGGCGCAAGCCUGAUGCAGCCAGGCCGCGUGUGUGAAGAAGGCCUUCGGGUUGUAAAGCACUGUCAGCGGGGAGGCGUUACCCGCAGAAGAAGCACCGGCUAACUACGUGCCAGCAGCCGCGGUAAUUC
RNAcentral lists this ribosomal RNA (406 nucleotides) under uncultured bacterium. RNAcentral describes it as "partial 16S ribosomal RNA". It matches the Rfam family "Bacterial small subunit ribosomal RNA", at positions 29 to 526 of the family's 1533-position model. The record is from RNAcentral.